Molecule: ribosomal RNA, 490 nt
Filed under: uncultured bacterium
Lineage: Bacteria
Description: partial 16S ribosomal RNA
Rfam family: Bacterial small subunit ribosomal RNA
Source: RNAcentral
GUGAACGCUGGCGGUCGGCCUAACACAUGCAAGUCGAACGGCAGCACCGUAAGAGCUUGCUCUUACGGGUGGCGAGUGGCGGACGGGUGAGGAAUACAUCGGAAUCUACUUUUUCGUGGGGGAUAACGUAGGGAAACUUACGCUAAUACCGCAUACGACCUACGGGUGAAAGCAGGGGAUCUUCGGACCUUGCGCGAUUGAAUGAGCCGAUGUCGGAUUAGCUAGUUGGCGGGGUAAAGGCCCACCAAGGCGACGAUCCGUAGCUGGUCUGAGAGGAUGAUCAGCCACACUGGAACUGAGACACGGUCCAGACUCCUACGGGAGGCAGCAGUGGGGAAUAUUGGACAAUGGGCGCAAGCCUGAUCCAGCCAUACCGCGUGGGUGAAGAAGGCCUUCGGGUUGUAAAGCCCUUUUGUUGGGAAAGAAAAGCAGCAGGUUAAUACCCCGCUGUUCUGACGGUACCCAAAGAAUAAACACCGGCUAACUUCGU